UGAUUUACGCGCAGCCACAAGAAGGACAG
RNAcentral lists this small RNA (29 nucleotides) under Bombyx mori (domestic silkworm). Its description in RNAcentral is "ovarian small RNA-33169". The record is from RNAcentral. Lineage: Eukaryota; Metazoa; Arthropoda; Insecta; Lepidoptera; Bombycidae.